AUUGCCUUAGUAACGGCGAGUGAAGCGGCAACAGCUCAAAUUUGAAAUCUGGCUCUUUCAGAGUCCGAGUUGUAAUUUGCAGAGGGCGCUUUGGCUUUGGCAGCGGUCCAAGUUCCUUGGAACAGGACGUCACAGAGGGUGAGAAUCCCGUACGUGGUCGCUAGCUAUUGCCGUGUAAAGCCCCUUCGACGAGUCGAGUUGUUUGGGAAUGCAGCUCUAAAUGGGAGGUAAAUUUCUUCUAAAGCUAAAUAUUGGCCAGAGACCGAUAGCGCACAAGUAGAGUGAUCGAAAGAUGAAAAGCACUUUGGAAAGAGAGUCAAACAGCUCGUGAAAUUGUUGAAAGGGAAGCGCUUGCAGCCAGACUUGCUUGCAGUUGCUCAUCCGGGCUUUUGCCCGGUGCACUCUUCUGCAGGCAGGCCAGCAUCAGUUUGGGCGGUGGGAUAAAGGUCUCUGACACGUUCCUUCCUUCGGGUUGGCCAUAUAGGGGAGACGUCAUACCACCAGCCUGGACUGAGGUCCGCGCAUCUGC
Molecule: ribosomal RNA, 529 nt
Filed under: Curvularia geniculata
Lineage: Eukaryota; Fungi; Ascomycota; Dothideomycetes; Pleosporales; Pleosporaceae
Description: partial large subunit ribosomal RNA
Rfam family: Eukaryotic large subunit ribosomal RNA
Source: RNAcentral